Molecule: non-coding RNA, 487 nt
Organism: Phascolarctos cinereus (koala)
Lineage: Eukaryota; Metazoa; Chordata; Mammalia; Diprotodontia; Phascolarctidae
Source: RefSeq, a predicted model, not a curated record
CUUACUCGCAAGCGCUUCCUAGAAAUUCGCCGGAUGGUCCCCGGAGCUUCUUCCUGUGGUGCCUUAGGUGCUGGGGAGGGGGCAUCCUUGAAACGGCAAGCUACGAGCGAAGCUAAGUAAGCCCACAGCUCCAUCUAUCCCACCCCUCCGUGCGUCUCUGUCCUCUGCCUGGGCGCGCUCUGUAAUCAUAGCGAGCCCGGAGAAAGAGCUCCCGAGUCUACCACGUGCUUUACAUACCUUCUCUCUCUCACCUGACACUUGCUUACAACAACUCUUGCAGAACAUGUAUAACACCCUCAACAUAAUGGAUGUUCCCUAUAGGGAACUACCUGGAUGGGUCAUUACGAGCAUUGCAGAAAGCAGAUAGGUAUCACAGUGGAUAGAGUAUUGGAGUCAAGAAGACCUGAGUUCACAUCCUGCUUCAGACUAUCCAGAGUUAUGCCAUGUAAAGUGGUACAGAGGAAAGAAGCCCUCAUCUGGAGUCAAG